This 496-nucleotide ribosomal RNA is filed under the name uncultured bacterium. RNAcentral's name for it is "partial 16S ribosomal RNA". It matches the Rfam family "Bacterial small subunit ribosomal RNA", at positions 29 to 507 of the family's 1533-position model. The record is from RNAcentral.
AUGAACGCUGGCGGCGUGCCUAAUACAUGCAAGUCGCGCGAACAGACGAGGAGCUUGCUCCUCUGACGUUAGCGGCGGACGGGUGAGUAACACGUGGAUAACCUACCUAUAAGACUGGGAUAACUUCGGGAAACCGGAGCUAAUACCGGAUAAUAUAUUGAACCGCAUGGUUCAAUAGUGAAAGACGGUUUUGCUGUCACUUAUAGAUGGAUCCGCGCCGCAUUAGCUAGUUGGUAAGGUAACGGCUUACCAAGGCGACGAUGCGUAGGCGACCUGAGAGGGUGAUCGGCCACACUGGAACUGAGACACGGUCCAGACUCCUACGGGAGGCAGCAGUAGGGAAUCUUCCGCAAUGGGCGAAAGCCUGACGGAGCAACGCCGCGUGAGUGAUGAAGGUCUUCGGAUCGUAAAACUCUGUUAUUAGGGAAGAACAAAUGUGUAAGUAACUAUGCACGUCUUGACGGUACCUAAUCAGAAAGCCACGGCUAACUACGUG